UAGCCCGCCAUAGGAUUCACGUAAGAGUAGGAACUGUGAUCUAGCAUCAUUCUAAAGUCUAUAAACACCUAAUAAAAUAGGUUGAAUCCGACCAAUUCUGUGCUUAAAUUAUUUUGAAGUUGACGAGGAUGCGGCUUCACCGAGAUUAUUAUCUACGUAAUGUUGUUGUUAUGCAUACCGAUUAGCUAUACCGGUCAAAUAUUGUCUUUCCAUUACUCGAACAAAUUUUGAAGGCCAUCGUUCCGGACGCGAGAGUUGAGAAACGGGCAUUAUCAUAAUAAAAACAGAAGUGCAUGGUCUGUAAUAGGUUUGUGUGCAGCUCGCAGCCGAAUUACUAAAA
This is a non-coding RNA of Cinara cedri, 340 nucleotides long. The record is from the annotation of a GenBank genome assembly. Lineage: Eukaryota; Metazoa; Arthropoda; Insecta; Hemiptera; Aphididae.